CGCAUCUGUGCAUGCAGCAUAUCAAUAAGCGGAGGAAAAGAAAACUAACAAGGAUUCCCCUAGUAACGGCGAGUGAAGCGGGAAGAGCUCAAAUUUGAAAUCUUAAAGGGUUUUCCCUUUACGAAUUGUAGUUUAAAGAAGUGUUUUUCUGUUGAGGUUUUUGGUAAAAGUUCUUUGGAAUAGGACAUCAUAGAGGGUGAGAAUCCCGUAUUUGACCUUUACUUUCAACUUUGUGAUACACUUUCAAAGAGUCGGAUUGUUUGGGAAUGCAGUCCAAAAUGGGUGGUAAAUUUCAUCUAAAGCUAAAUAUUGGCGAGAGACCGAUAGCGAACAAGUACCGUGAGGGAAAGAUGAAAAGAACUUUGAAAAGAGAGUUAAACAGUACGUGAAAUUGUCAAAAGGGAAGCGUUUUGACACCAGGUGUUGUUUUUUCUGAAAAUCAAUUAAAGAACUGUUUUAUGCUAAGUUGUUUAGACUUUAUCAGCUAACUGUUUUAGUUUUUGAGCUUUUUCUUUAAUGCACUUUUCAGUUAACAAGUCAACAUCAAUUUCUUUUGCUGUAAAAAAAGCUUGAGGAAGGUGGCUUGAGAUUCGUCUUAAGUGCUUUAUAGCCUCUUGCCUAUGCAGUCGGAGAGAUUGAGGUCUGCAGCGUAGAUCCUUCGGGGCUAAAUGCAUUUGUGCUAAGUUAUAGCAUUUUAUAGACAACUUGUUGACUAUGAUUUGUCUUGUAGCCUACUCGCUUAUGUUAUUUUACCUACGCUUAGGAUGUUGAGUCAUCACACAUCUCU
RNAcentral lists this ribosomal RNA (787 nucleotides) under uncultured Neocallimastigales. RNAcentral describes it as "partial large subunit ribosomal RNA". It matches the Rfam family "Eukaryotic large subunit ribosomal RNA", at positions 26 to 618 of the family's 3401-position model. Lineage: Eukaryota; Fungi; Neocallimastigomycota; Neocallimastigomycetes; Neocallimastigales. The record is from RNAcentral.